GAUGAACGCUGGCGGCGUGCCUAAUACAUGCAAGUCGAGCGAACGGACGAGAAGCUUGCUUCUCUGAUGUUAGCGGCGGACGGGUGAGUAACACGUGGAUAACCUACCUAUAAGACUGGGAUAACUUCGGGAAACCGGAGCUAAUACCGGAUAAUAUUUUGAACCGCAUGGUUCAAAAGUGAAAGACGGUCUUGCUGUCACUUAUAGAUGGAUCCGCGCCGCAUUAGCUAGUUGGUAAGGUAACGGCUUACCAAGGCAACGAUGCGUAGCCGACCUGAGAGGGUGAUCGGCCACACUGGAACUGAGACACGGUCCAGACUCCUACGGGAGGCAGCAGUAGGGAAUCUUCCGCAAUGGGCGAAAGCCUGACGGAGCAACGCCGCGUGAGUGAAGAAGGUCUUCGGAUCGUAAAACUCUGUUAUUAGGGAAGAACAAAUGUGUAAGUAACUAUGCACGUCUUGACGGUACCUAAUCAGAAAGCCACGGCUAACUACGUG
This 497-nucleotide ribosomal RNA is filed under the name uncultured bacterium. RNAcentral describes it as "partial 16S ribosomal RNA". It matches the Rfam family "Bacterial small subunit ribosomal RNA", at positions 28 to 507 of the family's 1533-position model. The record is from RNAcentral.